CUUCACCGAGCCGAGCAGCAGGGGCCGUUCCCGAUCCUGACCGUAGGUGGCGAGGAGCGCCUGCGCUUC
Molecule: antisense RNA, 69 nt
Filed under: Streptomyces sp. PAN_FS17
Lineage: Bacteria; Bacillati; Actinomycetota; Actinomycetes; Kitasatosporales; Streptomycetaceae
Also listed under: 1 other name
Description: ASpks TB sRNA
Rfam family: ASpks TB sRNA
Source: Rfam by way of RNAcentral